UCCCCUUGUACCUGCCUCUUCUCAGAACACCUCCUAAGGCUCCUUCAGAGACAGACUCUUUCUUGAGGUCUGUUGCGGACUCCUGGCCGCCAUCUAGGAGUUACAUACAGAGCAGCCAGCAAUGGAAAGGGAGGGCCACACUGCGAAGCCACUGCCAUCAAGGUCCCGUUGCCAGCCGCAAUGCAGCCUGGACACUAAAAUGCCUUAGCACCCGAUCCUGGUGCUCCACCACCAGGAGUAGCAGUGUUCUCCCUGGCACUAUGGAAGGAGAGGGAAAGGCCAUCACAGCCGGGAACAAGCAAUACCAGGUUGUGACCCAG
This is a long non-coding RNA of Meriones unguiculatus (Mongolian gerbil), 320 nucleotides long. RefSeq lists it as uncharacterized. NCBI's taxonomy places the organism in Eukaryota, Metazoa, Chordata, Mammalia, Rodentia, Muridae. The transcript is spliced from 3 exons. The record is from RefSeq and is a predicted model, not a curated record.